This 468-nucleotide ribosomal RNA is filed under the name uncultured bacterium. Its description in RNAcentral is "partial 16S ribosomal RNA". It matches the Rfam family "Bacterial small subunit ribosomal RNA", at positions 28 to 507 of the family's 1533-position model. The record is from RNAcentral.
GACGAACGCUGGCGGCGUGCUUAACACAUGCAAGUCGAACGGAAAGGCCCCGCUUUUGUGGGGUGCUCGAGUGGCGAACGGGUGAGUAACACGUGAGUAACCUGCCCUUGACUUUGGGAUAACUUCAGGAAACUGGGGCUAAUACCGGAUAGGAGCUCCUGCUGCAUGGUGGGGGUUGGAAAGUUUCGGCGGUUGGGGAUGGACUCGCGGCUUAUCAGCUUGUUGGUGGGGUAGUGGCUUACCAAGGCUUUGACGGGUAGCCGGCCUGAGAGGGUGACCGGCCACAUUGGGACUGAGAUACGGCCCAGACUCCUACGGGAGGCAGCAGUGGGGAAUAUUGCACGAUGGGCGGAAGCCUGAUGCAGCAACGCCGCGUGCGGGAUGACGGCCUUCGGGUUGUAAACCGCUUUCGCCUGUGACGAAGCGUGAGUGACGGUAAUGGGUAAAGAAGCACCGGCUAACUACGUG